RNAcentral lists this ribosomal RNA (301 nucleotides) under uncultured bacterium. Its description in RNAcentral is "partial 16S ribosomal RNA". It matches the Rfam family "Bacterial small subunit ribosomal RNA", at positions 509 to 808 of the family's 1533-position model. The record is from RNAcentral.
CAGUCGCCACGGUAAUACGUAGGUCCCGAGCGUUGUCCGGAUUUAUUGGGCGUAAAGCGAGCGCAGGCGGUUAGAUAAGUCUGAAGUUAAAGGCUGUGGCUUAACCAUAGUACGCUUUGGAAACUGUUUAACUUGAGUGCAAGAGGGGAGAGCGGAAUUCCAUGUGUAGCGGUGAAAUGCGUAGAUAUAUGGAGGAACACCGGUGGCGAAAGCGGCUCUCUGGCUUGUAACUGACGCUGAGGCUCGAAAGCGUGGGGAGCAAACAGGAUUAGAUACCCCUGUAGUCCCUGUCUCUUAUACC